UACGGAGGGUGCAAGCGUUAUCCGGAUUUACUGGGUUUAAAGGGUGCGUAGGCGGGUUGUUAAGUCAGUGGUGAAAGAUUCGAGCUCAACUCGAGAACUGCCAUUGAUACUGACGAUCUUGAAUAUAGUUGAGGUGGGCGGAAUGUGUCAUGUAGCGGUGAAAUGCUUAGAUACCAUCAAGAACACCGAUUGCGAAGGCAGCUUACUAGCUGUAACUGACGCUGAGGCACGAAAAGCGUGGGGAUCGAACAGGAGUU
This 257-nucleotide ribosomal RNA is filed under the name uncultured bacterium. RNAcentral describes it as "partial 16S ribosomal RNA". It matches the Rfam family "Bacterial small subunit ribosomal RNA", at positions 524 to 780 of the family's 1533-position model. The record is from RNAcentral.